Molecule: long non-coding RNA, 167 nt
Organism: Cucurbita moschata (crookneck pumpkin)
Lineage: Eukaryota; Viridiplantae; Streptophyta; Magnoliopsida; Cucurbitales; Cucurbitaceae
Exons: 2
Source: RefSeq, a predicted model, not a curated record
UCUAUAUAGAUAAUUCGUAAUUUUUGGACUCCGUUACGACUGUAAUCAAGCUCGGGAAGGCACGCGACAUACUUGUACCGGUCGAGGUGGGGAAGUGUUCGAGAGCUGCACUGUCACAGAGGGGUGUCGUUCCGGAGCGUCAGUCCCUUGUCGGUCUUUUAGAGUCU